GUUACUCAGAAAAGGCAUUUACGGCAAUCGGCUAAAAACAAACCUCACCUGUUUAGGUGCAGGAUCUUUUGCAGGCCACGUUUUAGUCUUUGCCACUGCGCAUGUGCAUCGUUGCGCAUCGCGGAAACGCUUGCUUUACUUUUCGGCGCUACGCGAGUUUUACCAGCAUAACAUUUGUGAUUAUUCGUGCAAUACGCAUCACUUUGCAUAAUCAAACAUUGGCCAAAAUAACCAGUUAUGUUUGCUGCUGCUGUGUACCUGUGUACAGGACAAGUCACAAAACAAAGCGACGUCAUUUCUGGAUUAAUGAUGAUCCGGAGGUGCACAGAGUCAGGAACUGCAUCUGAAUGACUGCAAGCGAGUUGCUACUACAGUGGCAUCUGUGAAAUCACUGGAGACAGGAAGAAAGCGUUUGGCAUCCUUGUAGGACCAUCUUUGGAUCCACUCUGACAGCGGUUUUUUCCUCCUCACAUGCAUUCAUCCAAACCACUUGGCUGAAUCAAGGCACACUGACACCAUGGAAUUCAAUAUGCACAGACUCUGCAGUGCAGAUCUCUCCUGCUGAUAGCUGCAAAUCCCAAACGUGCCAGCAGAGCCCUGCCUGACUGCCUGCUCUCACACUUCACAGUGCCUUGCCAUGACAGGCCGAGAAAGCCCAGCUAUGUCCCUUUGU
This is a long non-coding RNA of Centropristis striata (black sea bass), 673 nucleotides long. RefSeq lists it as uncharacterized. The transcript has 3 exons. NCBI's taxonomy places the organism in Eukaryota, Metazoa, Chordata, Actinopteri, Perciformes, Serranidae. The record is from RefSeq and is a predicted model, not a curated record.